UGGGGAAUAUUGGACAAUGGGGGCAACCCUGAUCCAGCCAUGCCGCGUGAAUGAUGAAGGCCUUCGGGUUGUAAAGUUCUUUUGGUAGGGACGAUAAUGACGGUACCUACAGAAUAAGCUCCGGCUAACUUCGUGCCAGCAGCCGCGGUAAUACGAAGGGAGCUAGCGUUGUUCGGAAUUACUGGGCGUAAAGGGUGCGUAGGCGGUUCGACAAGUCAGAUGUGAAAGCCCCGGGCUCAACCCGGGAACUGCGUUUGAUACUGUCGAGCUUGAAUUCGGUAGAGGUGAGUGGAAUUCCCAGUGUAGAGGUGAAAUUCGUAGAUAUUGGGAAGAACACCGGUGGCGAAGGCGGCUCACUGGACCGACAUUGACGCUGAGGCACGAAAGCGUGGGUAGCAAA
Molecule: ribosomal RNA, 400 nt
Filed under: uncultured bacterium
Lineage: Bacteria
Description: bacterial SSU rRNA
Rfam family: Bacterial small subunit ribosomal RNA
Source: RNAcentral